This 89-nucleotide transfer RNA is filed under the name Phaeodactylibacter sp. Its description in RNAcentral is "tRNA-Ser". It matches the Rfam family "tRNA". Rfam says of the family: Transfer RNA (tRNA) molecules are approximately 80 nucleotides in length. Their secondary structure includes four short double-helical elements and three loops (D, anti-codon, and T loops). The record is from RNAcentral. Lineage: Bacteria; Pseudomonadati; Bacteroidota; Saprospiria; Saprospirales; Haliscomenobacteraceae. RNAcentral also lists the same sequence under 1 other name.
GGUGACGUGGGUGAGUGGCUGAAACCACCAGUUUGCUAAACUGGCAUACUCUUAACGGGGUAUCGCGGGUUCGAAUCCCGCCGUCACCG